Molecule: ribosomal RNA, 253 nt
Filed under: uncultured bacterium
Lineage: Bacteria
Description: partial 16S ribosomal RNA
Rfam family: Bacterial small subunit ribosomal RNA
Source: RNAcentral
UACGAAGGGGGCAAGCGUUGCUCGGAAUCACUGGGCGUAAAGGGCGCGUAGGCGGCUUUAUAAGUCGGGGGUGAAAGCCUGUGGCUCAACCACAGAAUUGCCUUCGAUACUGUAGAGCUUGAGACCGGAAGAGGUAAGUGGAACUGCGAGUGUAGAGGUGAAAUUCGUAGAUAUUCGCAAGAACACCAGUGGCGAAGGCGGCUUUCUGGUCCGGUUCUGACGCUGAGGCGCGAAAGCGUGGGUAGCAAACAGG